CCUACGGGGGGCAGCAGUAGGGAAUAUUGCUCAAUGGGGGAAACCCUGAAGCAGCAACGCCGCGUGGAGGAUGAAGGUUUUCGGAUUGUAAACUCCUUUUGUUAGAGAAGAUAAUGACGGUAUCUAACGAAUAAGCACCGGCUAACUCCGUGCCAGCAGCCGCGGUAAUACGGAGGGUGCAAGCGUUACUCGGAAUCACUGGGCGUAAAGGGCGCGUAGGCGGGAUAGCAAGUCAGAUGUGGAAACCUAUGGCUUAACCAUAGAACUGCAUUUGAAACUGUUAUUCUAGAGUAUGGGAGAGGUAGGUGGAAUUCUUGGUGUAGGGGUAAAAUCCGUAGAGAUCAAGAGGAAUACUCAUUGCGAAGGCGACCUGCUAGAACAUAACUGACGCUGAUGCGCGAAAGCGUGGGGAGCAAACAGGAUUAGAUACCCGGGUAGUC
Molecule: ribosomal RNA, 440 nt
Filed under: uncultured bacterium
Lineage: Bacteria
Description: partial 16S ribosomal RNA
Rfam family: Bacterial small subunit ribosomal RNA
Source: RNAcentral